UUCCUCUCUUUUCUCAAAAAGUAUUAACUACUUAUUCAUCAGGGGCUCAAAUUGGUAUAAGUGGGAUUCUAUUCUACCCUUAUCCUGUCUUCCCUAUGCUCGUCUCUUCUAAUUAUGGAAUAUAUAUAUA
This is a long non-coding RNA of Cyclopterus lumpus (lumpfish), 130 nucleotides long. RefSeq lists it as uncharacterized. The record is from RefSeq and is a predicted model, not a curated record. The transcript has 3 exons. Lineage: Eukaryota; Metazoa; Chordata; Actinopteri; Perciformes; Cyclopteridae.